This 64-nucleotide transfer RNA is filed under the name Orthetrum albistylum. Its description in RNAcentral is "tRNA-His". Lineage: Eukaryota; Metazoa; Arthropoda; Insecta; Odonata; Libellulidae. The record is from RNAcentral.
ACUUAAAUAGUUUAAUUAAAAAUUUUGAUUUGUGGUGUCAAGGAUGUAUUUUAUACUUUAGGUA